CAGCCGCCGCGGUAAUACCGGCGGCCCGAGUGGCGGUCACUAUUAUUGGGCUUAAAGCGUCCGUAGCCGGGUUGGGAAGUCCUCCGGGAAAUCUGGCCGCUUAACGGUCAGAAUGCCGGAGGAUACUCCCAGCCUAGGGAGCGGGAGAGGCCGAGGGUAUUCCCGGAGUAGGGGUGAAAUCCUAUAAUCCCGGGAGGACCACCUGUGGCGAAGGCGCUCGGCUGGAACGCGUCCGACGGUGAGGGACGACGGCCAGGGGAGCAAACCGGAUUAGAUACCCGGGUAGUCCUGGCUGUAAACGAUGCGGACUUUGUGUCGGACAAGCUAUGAGCUUGUCCGGUGCCGGAGGGAAACCGUUAAGUCCGCCGCCUGGGGAGUACGGCCGCAAGGCUGAAACUUAAAGGAAUUGGCGGG
Molecule: ribosomal RNA, 414 nt
Filed under: uncultured microorganism
Description: bacterial SSU rRNA
Rfam family: Archaeal small subunit ribosomal RNA
Source: RNAcentral